RNAcentral lists this ribosomal RNA (253 nucleotides) under uncultured bacterium. RNAcentral's name for it is "partial 16S ribosomal RNA". It matches the Rfam family "Bacterial small subunit ribosomal RNA", at positions 524 to 776 of the family's 1533-position model. The record is from RNAcentral.
UACGUAGGGGGCUAGCGUUGCUCGGAAUCACUGGGCGUAAAGCGCACGUAGGCGGUCUUGUAAGUCGGGUGUGAAAGCCCAGGGCUCAACCCUGGAAGUGCACUCGAAACUGCAAGGCUAGAGUACCGGAGAGGUUGGUGGAAUUCUCGGUGUAGAGGUGAAAUUCGUAGAUAUCGAGAGGAACACCGGCGGCGAAGGCGGCCAACUGGACGAGUACUGACGCUGAGACACGAAAGCGUGGGGAGCAAACAGG